Molecule: transfer RNA, 117 nt
Organism: Pseudozyma hubeiensis SY62
Lineage: Eukaryota; Fungi; Basidiomycota; Ustilaginomycetes; Ustilaginales; Ustilaginaceae
Rfam family: tRNA
About the family: Transfer RNA (tRNA) molecules are approximately 80 nucleotides in length. Their secondary structure includes four short double-helical elements and three loops (D, anti-codon, and T loops).
Source: Rfam
GGCACUAUGGCGGAGUGGUUAUCGCGUAGCACUCGAACUCUUCACUUGCAGAUCGAGCAACACUCAAACAAUAUGCUAUUCCCCCUGGGAGCGCAGGUUCAAAUCCUGCUGGUGUCG